CUGGGGGCCGGCCUAUACAUGCAAGUCGAACGAGUUCUGAUUAUUGAAAGGUGCUUGCAUCUUGAUUUAAUUUUGAACGAGUGGCGGACGGGUGAGUAACACGUGGGUAACCUGCCCUUAAGUGGGGGAUAACAUUUGGAAACAGAUGCUAAUACCGCAUAAAUCCAAGAACCGCAUGGUUCUUGGCUGAAAGAUGGCGUAAGCUAUCGCUUUUGGAUGGACCCGCGGCGUAUUAACUAGUUGGUGAGGUAACGGCUCACCAAGGCAAUGAUACGUAACCGAACUGAGAGGUUGAUCGGCCACAUUGGGACUGAAACACGGCCCAAACUCCUACGGGAGGCAGCAGUAGGGAAUCUUCCACAAUGGACGCAAGUCUGAUGGAGCAACGCCGCGUGAGUGAAGAAGGCUUUCGGGUCGUAAAACUCUGUUGUUGGAGAAAAAUGGUCGGCAGAAUAACUGUUGUCGGCGUGACGGUAUCCAACCAGAAAGCCACGGCUAACUACGUGCCAGCAGCCGCGGUAAUACGUAAGUGGCAAGCGUUAUCCGGAUUUAUUGGGCGUAAAGCGAGCGCAGGCGGUUUUUUAAGUCUGAUGUGAAAGCCCUCGGCUUAACCGAGGAAGUGCAUCGGAAACUGGGAAACUUGAGUGCAGAAGAGGACAGUGGAACUCCAUGUGUAGCGGUGAAAUGCGUAGAUAUAUGGAAGAACACCAGUGGCGAAGGCGGCUGUCUGGUCUGUAACUGACGCUGAGGCUCGAAAGCAUGGGUAGCGAACAGGAUUAGAUACCCUGGUAGUCCAUGCCGUAAACGAUGAAUGCUAGGUGUUGGAGGGUUUCCGCCCUUCAGUGCCGCAGCUAACGCAUUAAGCAUUCCGCCUGGGGAGUACGACCGCAAGGUUGAAACUCAAAGGAAUUGACGGGGGCCCGCACAAGCGGUGGAGCAUGUGGUUUAAUUCGAAGCAACGCGAAGAACCUUACCAGGUCUGUGACAUCUUUUGAUCACUGAGAGAUCAGGUUUCCCCUUCGGGGGCAAAAUGACAGGUGGUGCAUGGUUGUCGUCAGCUCGUGUCGUGAGAUGUUGGGUUAAGUCCCGCAACGAGCGCAACCCUUAUGACUAGUUGCCAGCAUUUAGUUGGGCACUCUAGUAAGACUGCCGGUGACAAACCGGAGGAAGGUGGGGAUGACGUCAAAUCAUCAUGCCCCUUAUGACCUGGGCUACACACGUGCUACAAUGGAUGGUACAACGAGUUGCGAGACCGCGAGGUCAAGCUAAUCUCUUAAAGCCAUUCUCAGUUCGGACUGUAGGCUGCAACUCGCCUACACGAAGUCGGAAUCGCUAGUAAUCGCGGAUCAGCACGCCGCGGUGAAUACGUUCCCGGGCCUUGUACACACCGCCCGUCACACCAUGAGAGUUUGUAACACCCGAAGCCGGUGGCGUAACCCUUUAGGGAGCGAGCCUUUAUGGGGCAAUUGGUCGUCCUAUACGAUCCAGGG
Molecule: ribosomal RNA, 1490 nt
Filed under: Lacticaseibacillus rhamnosus
Lineage: Bacteria; Bacillati; Bacillota; Bacilli; Lactobacillales; Lactobacillaceae
Description: bacterial SSU rRNA
Rfam family: Bacterial small subunit ribosomal RNA
Source: RNAcentral